AUCUAGUAAGACUCUGAUAGUAGGAAAUUCUAAUAGCUCUGUGCCUUGAUACUUCUCUUCAAUGACAUUCUUGGAUUGUUAUUAUCGUCUUGAGUUUUAAAUUCUAUUUUGCAGACUGCCUGAAUCCUGUUUUCUGUAUUCAUUUGAUUUUGUUUUCCCCUUACUCGGUCAGAGCAUUUGUAUUUCAUCUUUAUCACAACUGCAAUUUGAUGCGAGACUUCAUCCAUCCCUUCAAUAUUCCUCGAUAAUUAGUCCUGUCUAUGCUUUGCCCUCUUGUCAUCUUGUCUGAACAUCAUAUUCUGAAGAUGGCUGGUGAGCUAAAAUUGUUAUGGGAACUGUUACAGAUUAUACCAGCUAUGGUAGAGCUUUAAUCAUGUAUUCGAUUUUCAUUGAUAAUAAGAGUAAUCAUAUGUUACCCAACCUACAUUACAUUUAGCGUUUGUGUAGAUAAGUUUUGU
Molecule: long non-coding RNA, 458 nt
Filed under: Olea europaea subsp. europaea
Lineage: Eukaryota; Viridiplantae; Streptophyta; Magnoliopsida; Lamiales; Oleaceae
Source: RNAcentral